GAGUCAAUGAGGACUACAGUGAUCUGUCCGAGCGAGUCCAGAGGCACGAGUCUCACCAGAAUGAGCUCCAACAUUACAUACAGCUGUUGCUGAACCGUUCUCCAAAUGAAGCAAACACUUCGCAGCAUACCGACUCUGUGUUGUCACAGGACAAUGAGGACUUAGUUUUGAAUGACACCGCCCAGGCAGCCCAGCUUCAGAGGGAACUGGACCGUAUCCAGGAG
Long non-coding RNA from Dreissena polymorpha, 224 nucleotides. RefSeq lists it as uncharacterized. The record is from RefSeq and is a predicted model, not a curated record. NCBI's taxonomy places the organism in Eukaryota, Metazoa, Mollusca, Bivalvia, Myida, Dreissenidae. The transcript has 3 exons.